RNAcentral lists this ribosomal RNA (885 nucleotides) under uncultured bacterium. RNAcentral describes it as "bacterial SSU rRNA". It matches the Rfam family "Bacterial small subunit ribosomal RNA", at positions 1 to 879 of the family's 1533-position model. The record is from RNAcentral.
GGAUCCAGACUUUGAUCAUGGCUCAGGAUGAACGCUAGCUACAGGCUUAACACAUGCAAGUCGAGGGGCAGCAUUUUAGUUUGCUUGCAAACUGAAGAUGGCGACCGGCGCACGGGUGAGUAACACGUAUCCAACCUGCCGAUAACUCCGGGAUAGCCUUUCGAAAGAAAGAUUAAUACCGGAUAGCAUACGAAUAUCGCAUGAUAUUUUUAUUAAAGAAUUUCGGUUAUCGAUGGGGAUGCGUUCCAUUAGUUUGUUGGCGGGGUAACGGCCCACCAAGACUACGAUGGAUAGGGGUUCUGAGAGGAAGGUCCCCCACAUUGGAACUGAGAUACGGUCCAAACUCCUACGGGAGGCAGCAGUGAGGAAUAUUGGUCAAUGGGCGAGAGCCUGAACCAGCCUAGUAGCGUGAAGGAUGAAGGCUCUAUGGGUCGUAGACUUCUUUUAUAUGGGAAUAAAGUAUUCCACGUGUGGAAUUUUGUAUGUACCAUAUGAAUAAGGAUCGGCUAACUCCGUGCCAGCAGCCGCGGUAAUACGGAGGAUCCGAGCGUUAUCCGGAUUUAUUGGGUUUAAAGGGAGCGUAGGUGGAUUGUUAAGUCAGUUGUGAAAGUUUGCGGCUCAACCGUAAAAUUGCAGUUGAAACUGGCAGUCUUGAGUACAGUAGAGGUGGGCGGAAUUCGUGGUGUAGCGGUGAAAUGCUUAGAUAUCACGAAGAACUCCGACUGCGAAGGCAGCUCACUAGACUGUUACUGACACUGAUGCUCGAAAGUGUGGGUAUCAAACAGGAUUAGAUACCCUGGUAGUCCACACAGUAAACGAUGAAUACUCGCUGUUUGCGAUAUACAGUAAGCGGCCAAGCGAAAGCAUUAGUAUUCCACCUGGGGA